GCCUCCAUGGCUCAGAGGUAGAGCAUUCCCUUGGUAAGGGAAAGGUCUCGGGUUCAAAUCCCGAUGGAGGCU
Molecule: transfer RNA, 72 nt
Filed under: Cyanobacteria bacterium UBA8156
Lineage: Bacteria; Bacillati; Cyanobacteriota
Also listed under: 1 other name
Description: tRNA-Thr
Rfam family: tRNA
About the family: Transfer RNA (tRNA) molecules are approximately 80 nucleotides in length.
Source: RNAcentral